RNAcentral lists this ribosomal RNA (459 nucleotides) under uncultured bacterium. Its description in RNAcentral is "partial 16S ribosomal RNA". It matches the Rfam family "Bacterial small subunit ribosomal RNA", at positions 338 to 795 of the family's 1533-position model. The record is from RNAcentral.
CCUACGGGUGGCAGCAGUGAGGAAUAUUGGUCAAUGGUCGGGAGACUGAACCAGCCAAGCCGCGUGAGGGAUGAAGGUACAGAGUAUCGUAAACCUCUUUUGUCAGGGAACAAAGGCGGGGACGUGUCCCCGGAUGAGUGUACCUGAAGAAAAAGCAUCGGCUAACUCCGUGCCAGCAGCCGCGGUAAUACGGAGGAUGCGAGCGUUAUCCGGAUUUAUUGGGUUUAAAGGGUUCGAAGGCGGUCUGUUAAGUCAGCGGUAAAAGCCCGGGGCUCAACCCCGGCCCGCCGUUGAAACUGGCAGUCUCGAGUUGGAGAGAAGUAUGCGGAAGGCGCGGUGUAGCGGUGAAAUGCAUAGAUAUCGCGCAGAACUCCGAUUGCGAAGGCAGCAUGCCGGCUCCACACUGACGCUGAGGCACGAAAGCGUGGGUAUCGAACAGGAUUAGAUACCCUUGUAGUC